RNAcentral lists this ribosomal RNA (959 nucleotides) under Gambierdiscus excentricus. RNAcentral describes it as "LSU rRNA". It matches the Rfam family "Eukaryotic large subunit ribosomal RNA", at positions 23 to 905 of the family's 3401-position model. The record is from RNAcentral. Lineage: Eukaryota; Dinophyceae; Gonyaulacales; Pyrocystaceae.
ACCUGCUGAAUUUAAGCAUAUAAGUAGGCAGAGGAAGUGACACAAAAGUGGACUCACACAGUAGUUGCGAACGAAGAGUGAAAGACUCAAUUCGAAAUGUGUGGGUUUCUGCCCAUGACAUGAAAUCUCCGAAUGUGUGACUAAGGGUGGUGCAGGUGUGAGCCAUCUUGCAAGAGGGGAGGGCGUGCAUCAACAAGGGUGAGAAUCCUGUGUGUUGCUUGCAGACUUCUGUGUACAGUGCCCAUUUUCAGAAUCAUGCUCUUUGGAACUGGAGUGCAAAGUGGGUGGUMGCUCCCACUCAAAGUCGAACAUGACAUUGGGACUGACAGGGGAGAAGUACCGUGAGGGAAGCGUGAAAAGGACUUUGSAAAGAGAUUUAAAAGAGCCUGCACUUGCUGAGUGCCAAGCACACAGGAUGGCAGAGGUGGGAGAGAUUGCUGCGUGCGUGUGCAMUUCUGGCUGUCACCAGACAGGAGCUUGCCAUGCAUGCUUGUGCUGCAUGUGGAGAUUCYUUUCUUGAGUGCCAGUAUGUAUGUAUGUAGUCGAUGCCUGUUGGCAUUGCUUGUGGUGUAUCCUGGGAUAUGUGAUUGUGUGUGCCUUGUCUGAACGUGCCGAAGGCUCUGUUGCACUGUGACCCAAGCUGUCAGCAUGCCUGUCUGUUUUCACUGUUGGGGAGUCCAUGACCAGUGUGUUUGCGGUGAGCUCCAUUCUGUGUGACCCGUCUUGAAACACGGACCAAGGAGUCUAGCAUAGUUGCAAGCUUGUGGGGGAGAGAACUCAGUGCACAAUGAAGGUGGAGUCCCAGAGUGGGCAUGAGUGUUCAACCAAGCAGCAGGAUGAGGUUUGAGCCUGAGUAUGCCCGCUAGGACCCGAAAGAUGGUGAACUAUGCCUGGGAAGGGCAAAGUCAGGGGAAACUCUGGUGGAGGCUCACAGCGCUACUGACGUGCAAAUCGUUCGU